CCCUUGAAAAUGGUUUAUUACACUCCUCCAUGCCGGGCCAAGGGGCAGUCCCUCCGGACGUGCCCCAUCGCCCAGCAGAGGUAGCACCAGGCCUCCCCCGUCGAAUAAUGCACCUGGUAGUGGGCUCCCUGGUAGGGGACCAGAAAGGACCCCUCGAGCGCCUCUCCGCCACACGCCGCCGGUGGCAGUUGAAGCUGCACUUGCCGGUGGAACAAGAGGACAUGACGGAGGGUGGGGUCCUUGCAGCUCAACGGGAGAGGGCUGAUGACGGAGAUGGGGCACCCCAGGGCAGAAAGGGCAGGCA
This is a non-coding RNA of Chelonoidis abingdonii (Abingdon island giant tortoise), 304 nucleotides long. NCBI's taxonomy places the organism in Eukaryota, Metazoa, Chordata, Testudines, Testudinidae. The record is from RefSeq and is a predicted model, not a curated record.